Molecule: ribosomal RNA, 379 nt
Filed under: uncultured bacterium
Lineage: Bacteria
Description: partial 16S ribosomal RNA
Rfam family: Bacterial small subunit ribosomal RNA
Source: RNAcentral
CCUACGGGAGGCUGCAGUAGGGAAUAUUGCACAAUGGGGGAAACCCUGAUGCAGCAACGCCGCGUGAGUGAUGAAGUAUUUCGGAUUGUAAAGCUCUAUCGUCAGGGAAGAUAAUGACGGUACCUGACGAAGAAGCCCCGGCUAACUACGUGCCAGCAGCCGCGGUAAUACGUAGGGUGCAAGCGUUAUCUGGAUUUACUGGGUGUAAAGGGAGCGGAGGUGGGAUGGGAAGGCAGAAGUGAAAACCCGGUGCUCAACCCCGCGAAUUGCUUUUGAAACUGUCAUGCUGGAGUGUGGGAGGGGUAGGCGGAAUUCCUGGUGUAGCGGUAAAAUGCGUAGAUAUUAAGAGGAACACGCGUGGCGAAGGCGGCCUGCUGGA